Phascolarctos cinereus (koala) is the source of this 410-nucleotide non-coding RNA. NCBI's taxonomy places the organism in Eukaryota, Metazoa, Chordata, Mammalia, Diprotodontia, Phascolarctidae. The record is from RefSeq and is a predicted model, not a curated record.
AACAGAUGGACAGCCUGAGCAAGGGAUUACUCUGGUAUCCAAGAAAUAGAAAAAGAACACCAGGAAGGAUUCCAACACCUUGAGUGGAUCCUCCAUCAGAGAUUUAUGGAAAGACAUGGGCAUGAGAUGUGGAAACUGAAGGCCAGAGAGGGGAAAUGACUUGUCCCUAAGGCUAGAGGCAGUGUCAGGAUUAGAACCCACAUCUCUCAGGUCUGACUCCACUGCUUUUCCCAGGAGGCUACAGCACGAAGUUUUGGACAGUGCUCCAAAAGGGGGAGAAGGAGAGGGAGCAGGCUAGAAGGAAAGGUGGAGAGGGAAGGUUUUCCACCACCACCUGAGACAAGGUUUGGAAAAAAAAAUAUAAGAAGUUUUCAUCAGUCAUCUGCACAAGCUCAUAUUCAUACCCCAAA